Molecule: ribosomal RNA, 405 nt
Filed under: Triticum aestivum (bread wheat)
Lineage: Eukaryota; Viridiplantae; Streptophyta; Magnoliopsida; Poales; Poaceae
Description: partial small subunit ribosomal RNA
Source: RNAcentral
AUGCGGACGAGUGGUGCUGAUGGUUUCGGUGCGGCUGCUCCUGCUCAUAUCGCCGCCACGACGGCGGUCGCCGCCGAGCACUUGCCUACGGUCAUCAAAAGCCAGGAAAGCGAUCUGCCGCCGGAUCCGGAGCAUGCCUCCAUACUCCCGCAACACGAGUUCGACUCCGAGUUUUGCACCACCGAGAAGUACCAAAAGCUGAGUUGUGUGCACAGGCACACUCCCGCUCGAUGUGUAUGCACGGAGGGAUUCGACAUUGGCAGGCGGUUUCUCAUUUGCCCCUUAGAGGGAUAUGAGGCUUGUGCCUUUGUUAACUGGCUGGAUGAAGAAUGGCAUGGCAGGGCUCGGAGUGUUAUCACCAAGCUCGCAGAAGUUAACUUCCUCUUCUCUGCAUACCCCGGUUAA